AGAGUUUGAUCAUGGCUCAGGACGAACGCUGGCGGCGUGCUUAAUACAUGCAAGUCGAGCGAGGUUACUGUUUUGGAUCCCUUCGGGGUGAAGAAGCUUUAACCUAGCGGCGGACGGGUGAGUAACGCGUGGGUAACCUACCCCAAAGUCCGGGAUAACAGCGGGAAACCGCUGCUAAUACCGGAUGCCUUUACCUUGGGGCAUCUUGAGGUAAAGAAAGGCAACGCUUUGGGAUGGGCCCGCGUCCCAUUAGCUAGUUGGUGAGGUAACGGCUCACCAAGGCGACGAUGGGUAGCCGGCCUGAGAGGGUGGACGGCCACACUGGGACUGAGACACGGCCCAGACUCCUACGGGAGGCAGCAGUAGGGAAUAUUGCGCAAUGGACGGAAGUCUGACGCAGCGACGCCGCGUGAGCGAUGAAGGUCUUCGGAUCGUAAAGCUCUGUCCUUGGGGAAGAAGGCGAAAGCUUGACGGUACCCAAGAAGAAAGCCCCGGCUAACUACGUGCCAGCAGCCGCGGUAAUACGUAGGGGGCGAGCGUUGUCCGGAAUUACUGGGCGUAAAGGGUGCGUAGGCGGCCCUUUAAGUCGGAUGUGAAAGCCCGCGGCUUAACCGCGGAAUGGCAUUCGAAACUGGAGGGCUUGAGUGUCGGAGAGGGUAGUGGAAUUCCCAGUGUAGCGGUGAAAUGCGUAGAUAUUGGGAGGAACACCAGUGGCGAAGGCGACUACCUGGACGAUAACUGACGCUGAGGCACGAAAGCUAGGGGAGCAAACAGGAUUAGAUACCCAGGUAGUCCUAGCCGUAAACGAUGGGUACUAGGUGUGGGUGGUUUCGAUACCAUCCGUGCCGUAGUUAACGCAUUAAGUACCCCGCCUGGGGAGUACGUGCGCAAGCAUGAAACUCAAAUGAAUUGACGG
This 916-nucleotide ribosomal RNA is filed under the name uncultured bacterium. RNAcentral describes it as "bacterial SSU rRNA". It matches the Rfam family "Bacterial small subunit ribosomal RNA", at positions 8 to 916 of the family's 1533-position model. The record is from RNAcentral.